GCUAAUGUAGCUUAAUGAAAGCAUAUCACUGAAGAUGUUAAGAUGGACCCUAAAAAGUCUCAUGGGCA
Molecule: transfer RNA, 68 nt
Filed under: Micralestes sp. NM-2010
Lineage: Eukaryota; Metazoa; Chordata; Actinopteri; Characiformes; Alestidae
Description: tRNA-Phe
Rfam family: tRNA
About the family: Transfer RNA (tRNA) molecules are approximately 80 nucleotides in length. Their secondary structure includes four short double-helical elements and three loops (D, anti-codon, and T loops).
Source: RNAcentral